This is a long non-coding RNA of Coturnix japonica (Japanese quail), 1868 nucleotides long. RefSeq lists it as uncharacterized. The record is from RefSeq and is a predicted model, not a curated record. Lineage: Eukaryota; Metazoa; Chordata; Aves; Galliformes; Phasianidae.
GUCUGAGGGGCAGAUGUGAGGGGAAAGGGGCAGAUUUGAGGGCACAGGGGGAGAUAGGGGAGGGGUGGGAAGCAAACACACAGUGCUGGUGCAUCCCUCCACUGCAGCAGUGCACUGCCUGCCCCUCUGCUGCCACACGGAGCUGUACCUGGUAUAGGGUCGGAGCUUUGAAACCCUGCACAGCUGAGGGACCUCAUGGGAUCGAUCUCUGUGGCUGCAACACACCGGUGUGGAUGGACGGCUUUGCUGCAGUGCACACCCGGCAGGAAUGCACGGCAGCCUCGAGAGGGAAGCUGCUUUACCUCUGAAAUCUUCCUGCUAUGACUGAUAACCGAGCACUGAACAUGGACACACAAACACCUUCUCCUUGCAUCACGUCGCAGCCUUACACCCCUUUUGCUGGCGGAGCUGCUUUCCAUGCAUUUCAGCGUUGGUUUUUUCACUCAAAGCUGUGUUUUUUCGCUCUGUCCUCCUUGUGUUUAGCUGCAAACAUCAGAGGGAGCUGCAGGCUGCUGCUUGGCCCUGUAUGGACACUGCAUGGAGCAAGCAGCCUUUGGUCACUGUGCAGGCAGCUAAUUAGAGCCCUGCGUGCAAUGAAACAAAUGAAAAUGAGUCAUUUUGUGGCCUGAUGGUUACAAGGCAGGUCGAUGGAAGGAAGCCCAGGAGAGAAGGGAUCGUAUGGACAGUGGAGGAAUGUGCUCGGGGUGCUGUCACACCCAUGAAGGGGUGCAGAAAGGACAAGGGAGAAGUGGCUGCUGGUCUCUGGAGUGAAGCUGAAGUGAUCAGCAGUUAUUAGACAAAGAGGAGACGUCAGAAACGCUGCCAGCUGGGAGGCUUCGACUUCCCUGAAAUAAAGCUGAGAACAAACGCUCCUAAAAACGGCACCGAGCCGCUAUUUCUAGAGCUGAUCGCCACCGGAUUGCUUUACCAACCUGGAGCUCACAGCAACCAGCAGCCCCAGCACAGCCAUGCUGCAGGAGGCAGAGGACAUCCUACAUUGCUUUGCAUUGUGGAGCUGCUUCCCAAGCAGAAGAUGGGAACACAGAGAGACCCAUAGAAGCGUCACACGUCCCGCUGUGUCACCCAGGUGCCACCAUCACACUUGUUGUCACAGUGAGCUCCUAUUUUGGGCUGAUGCCGCAGCACCGCGGGGCACUUUGGCUCAGCACAGGGCUAUUUUCAGUGCUGCCCUUCUCCGCACGUGCUCUGAGCUGGUGUCCAACCAUGGGGCACAUUCUAGGGGCGGUGGUAAGGGAAUGGGAUCCUGGAUGGGACAGCAGAGGUGACACCAGAGCUGCUGGGACCAAGGGGACAACCCCAGGCCCUUGUGCUCAGCCCCAUAGAGCUCAGCUCUGCCCCACAGCUUCACCGCUGCCCCAGCCAAAAUCUGGUUCUGAGCUGAGCACCCACAAAUCCAAAGCCACCCCAUCCCCAAAGCCACCCCAUACUGUCUCACUGCCUCGGUUUACCUCAACCCCACAGCCCAGGGCACAUUGGGACCACCACCCCUCCCUAUAGCCCCCCCCCCCAGGGUUGGUUGAAACAAACACGGGCUGGUCCAGCCCCCACCCUUGGGUCGGUCUCAACGCAUUUUUAUUAAAUCCUUACAAAACAGAAUACAAAAUUCUGGCAUCAACAAUGGUUAUAAAGGAAAAAAAACUUCAAUCCAGCUGUAUCAGUUCACCUGGUACAUACAGUAAAGUGCUUGGUGGUUGUAGGGGUUCUUUUUCUUCUCUUCCUUUUUAAUUCUCUUUCUUCUUUUCUUUCCCCUUUUAGUUUUAUUCCCCAGCCCGGCCCCAAGUGGAGGCAGGGGGGUACAAUGCGUCGGCCCAGCUUUGGCAGUCUUCAUCCAUUGUAAAGCAGAGAAA